RNAcentral lists this ribosomal RNA (372 nucleotides) under uncultured soil bacterium. RNAcentral's name for it is "bacterial SSU rRNA". It matches the Rfam family "Bacterial small subunit ribosomal RNA", at positions 26 to 393 of the family's 1533-position model. The record is from RNAcentral.
AGGAUAAACGCUGGCGGCGUGCAUGAGACAUGCAAGUCGAACGAGUGUCUCGGGCUUGCUCGAGACGCUAGUGGCGGACGGCUGAGUAACGCGUAGGUGACCUACCCCGAAGUGGGGAAUAACUGCCCGAAAGGGUGGCUAAUACCGCAUGUGGUCGUACGUUCGGUCGUACGACCAAAGCCGCAAGGCGCGUUCGGGAGGGGCCUGCGUCCGAUUAGCUAGGUUGGUGGGGUAACGGCUCACCGAAGGCGACGAUCGGUAGGUGGUCUGAGAGGACGAUCACCCAGACUGGGACUGAGACACGGCCAGACCUCCGUACGGGAGGCAGCGAGUCGGGUAAUUUGCUACAAGUGGGACGAAACGCGUAGAACG